This is a long non-coding RNA of Colias croceus (clouded yellow), 646 nucleotides long. RefSeq lists it as uncharacterized. The record is from RefSeq and is a predicted model, not a curated record. The transcript is spliced from 2 exons. Lineage: Eukaryota; Metazoa; Arthropoda; Insecta; Lepidoptera; Pieridae.
AGUAUUAUUAGAAGUAUGCGUUUAGCACAGAGCAAGUAAUUGCGUUUAGUGGUUAUCUAUUCAUGUUAGAGCAUGUGCAUCGACAGAAAAUGGAGCCAGGAACUUCGCGAAAAGAUUAUAAAAAUCACCGAUAUUCUGGUGCGAGAAAAAGUCGCAAACGAGUUCGUGGACAAAUGAAACGCUAUCACGGAUUAGUGAAAAGAUAUGUAAAUAAAAAUCUACAGCACCCUGCGACAACCAUGUUAAAACAAUACUUCUUUGAGAAGCACUUUCGAAUCGUGAAUACACAUUUUUAACAAUUACCACCGAUUCGGAAAGCAGCAUCUAUGGGAGAACCGGCAAGAAACUCCAUAUUCUGACCAAUGACAUUUCAUAAUUGCAACGGUCCGUGACAUUGUAGCAAAAUGAAAAAAAAAAAUGUGCGACCAGCAGGCCAUCAUUGACAAAGUUUUGAUUUUUAGGUGCUAGUCCAGAUGGUAAUGUGGCAUAAUUAAUUGAAAGGUCUAUUUGGUAUGAAGAAUCAAAAAGUUCAACAGCACGGUGAUUAUGGCCUGAUCUCUUACAGGCCACAUCCCACCUUUGGGACCAUCCACUGGCCUGGCAGUUACUACCACCCUAAAUAAAAUGCUUCUCUUUAGUCAUAAAA